AGGAUAAUAGUUAAUAAUAACAUUUGGGUUGCAUUCAAAAAGUGUUGAAUAUUUCAACUUAUCUU
RNAcentral lists this transfer RNA (65 nucleotides) under Balta sp. Cairns, Australia. RNAcentral describes it as "tRNA-Ala". The record is from RNAcentral. Lineage: Eukaryota; Metazoa; Arthropoda; Insecta; Blattodea; Pseudophyllodromiidae.